Molecule: ribosomal RNA, 744 nt
Filed under: Triticum aestivum (bread wheat)
Lineage: Eukaryota; Viridiplantae; Streptophyta; Magnoliopsida; Poales; Poaceae
Description: partial small subunit ribosomal RNA
Source: RNAcentral
AUGGAGCCAACCAGAUCACCACUAGUUUUGCUCGUGGCGCAAGCCGUACUCGCUGCGGCGAUGUUGCAACAACCAUCAGAAGGGAGGGUGCAGGCAGUGGCGCCAUCAGCGCCACAUCUCGCCGGAGGCAAAGAAGCUGAAGCAGCAGCCGCUACAUCCUUGCCGGCUUCACCAUUCACCGGGGACCCGCCACCAUCGGAAGAGAGGGCACAGGCGCUCAAGGCGCCAUCAGUGCCACACCUCGCCGAAGCCGAACCGGUAGCGGCUACCUCCUCGCCGGCUUCACCGUACACCGGCGUCUCGGUCUUCAUCCCGGCACCGCCGCCUCUACCUGGCGUGCCCGCGUUACCGCCGUUGCCCGGCUUCCCGGGCAUGGCAGGCGCGCCUUCGCCUUCGCCUUCGCAGCAGCUGGCCAGUUGCUUGGGACCGCUCGGGCGUGUGAUAACUUGCGCUCCGUACCUCACCGACUCCGUACCCGCGCCGCCGAGUACAUGCUGCGACGGCUUCAGGUCGCUCGUCGGCAGCAGCGCCCGGAUCUGCUUGUGCCAUGCCAUCAUCGGCAACCUGAGUACAUUGGCCAGGGGGGAGAUCGACCAGCUUCGCUUGCUCGUGCUGCCUCUGACGUGUAGCACGAUCGUGCCCCCGGACUUGCUUCUCAUGUGCAUCCUGUCUCCGGUGCCGCCGAUUAUGCCUCAGCACUACGGCGCCGAUGUCAGAGAAAGGCUCGGUGCUCUGGGCGGCUAG